AUGUUGUUUUCUAUCAGUCCCAAGCGGAUACUCCCCAGCUUCCACGGUCCGCUUACCGAGGAAGAGAUGCGGGAGGACCCAGGGCCAGAGCAAGUUGGGUUGGGGUAUAGAGCCGUAAGCGCGGUGGGGGUGACAGAGGAUGUGCUCGUACGGUUCAUAGUUGGGUAUGAUAUUCUCGUGGAUUGUUGGGAACGUCCUCUAUAUUCGAAAUAUGCCUUUCUAGGAGCAUUAUGA
RNAcentral lists this ribosomal RNA (234 nucleotides) under Triticum aestivum (bread wheat). RNAcentral describes it as "partial small subunit ribosomal RNA". The record is from RNAcentral. Lineage: Eukaryota; Viridiplantae; Streptophyta; Magnoliopsida; Poales; Poaceae.